This 87-nucleotide transfer RNA is filed under the name Hungatella hathewayi. RNAcentral describes it as "tRNA-Ser(cag)". It matches the Rfam family "tRNA". From Rfam's summary of the family: Transfer RNA (tRNA) molecules are approximately 80 nucleotides in length. Lineage: Bacteria; Bacillati; Bacillota; Clostridia; Lachnospirales; Lachnospiraceae. The record is from RNAcentral.
UGCAGAAGUGGCGGAAUUGGCAGACGCGCACGGUUCAGGUCCGUGUGGUAGCAAUACCGUGAGGGUUCAAGUCCCUUCUUCUGCAUC